CCUACGGGAGGCUGCAGUGGGGAAUAUUGCACAAUGGGGGAAACCCUGAUGCAGCGAUGCCGCGUGGAGGAAGAAGGUUUUCGGAUUGUAAACUCCUUUUAUCAGGGACGAUAAUGACGGUAACUGAAGAAAAAGCUCCGGCUAACUACGUGCCAGCAGCCGCGGUAAUACGUAGGGAGCGAGCGUUGUCCGGAAUUACUGGGUGUAAAGGGAGCGUAGGCGGGACUGCAAGUCAGAUGUGAAAACCACGGGCUCAACCUGUGGCCUGCAUUUGAAACUGUAGUUCUUGAGUACUGGAGAGGCAGACGGAAUUCCUAGUGUAGCGGUGAAAUGCGUAGAUAUUAGGAGGAACACCAGUGGCGAAGGCGGUCUGCUGGACAGCAACUGACGCUGAGGCGCGAAAGCGUGGGGAGCAAACAGGAUUAGAUACCCCAGUAGUC
Molecule: ribosomal RNA, 440 nt
Filed under: uncultured bacterium
Lineage: Bacteria
Description: partial 16S ribosomal RNA
Rfam family: Bacterial small subunit ribosomal RNA
Source: RNAcentral